RNAcentral lists this ribosomal RNA (1034 nucleotides) under Akkermansia sp. BIOML-A49. RNAcentral's name for it is "partial 23S ribosomal RNA". It matches the Rfam family "Bacterial large subunit ribosomal RNA", at positions 134 to 1174 of the family's 2925-position model. The record is from RNAcentral. Lineage: Bacteria; Pseudomonadati; Verrucomicrobiota; Verrucomicrobiia; Verrucomicrobiales; Akkermansiaceae.
UUCUGAAGGAAUGACAUCUUGCAUAGCAAGAGGCUAACGCAGGGAACUGAAACAUCUUAGUACCUGUAGGAAAAGAAAAUAAUAAUGAUUCCCCUAGUAGUGGCGAGCGAACGGGGAUUAGCCCAAACCAAUGUUGUUACGGCAAUAUUGGGGUUGUAGGACCACGAUGUCGCAAGAAAUUUAGUGAGAAGAACCCUUUGGAAAAUGGGACCAUAGACGGUGAUAGUCCGGUAUUCGAAGCUAAAUGAAGCGUAGUGGUAUCCUGAGUAGCGCGGGACACGAGGAAUCUUGCGUGAACCAGCCGGGACCAUCCGGUAAGGCUAAAUACUCCCGAGAGACCGAUAGCGAACCAGUACUGUGAAGGAAAGGUGAAAAGCACUUCGAAUAGAAGAGUGAAAUAGUCCCUGAAACCAUGCGCCUACAAGCGGUCGGAGCAGCUUAUGCUGUGACGGCGUGCCUUUUGCAUAAUGAACCUACGAGUUACUUUUUCCGGCAAGGUUAAGGAUCUUGAGAUCCGCAGCCGAAGCGAAAGCGAGUCUUAACAGGGCGAUUAGUCGGAAGGAGUAGACGCGAAACCAAGUGAUCUACCCUUGGUCAGGAUGAAGGUUAGGUAACACUAACUGGAGGACCGAACCGAUAAGCGUUGAAAAGCUUCCGGAUGAACUGAGGGUGGGGGUGAAAGGCUAAUCAAACUUGGAGAUAGCUCGUACUCCCCGAAAUGCAUUUAGGUGCAGCCUUGGGAAUUACUACUGUGAGGUAGAGCGACUGAUAAGAUGCGAGGGCUUCACCGCCUAUCAAGUCUUGAUAAACUCCGAAUGCGCAGUAGUUCGAUCCCAGGAGUGGGGGCAUGGGUGCUAAGGUCCAUGUCCUAAAGGAGAAGAAUCCGGACCAUCAGCUAAGGUCCCGAAAUAAUUGCUAAGUUGAACUAACGAAGUCAGAUUGCUAAGACAGCUAGGAUGUUGGCUUGGAAGCAGCCAUUCAUUUAAAGAGUGCGUAACAGCUCACUAGUCGAGGAGUUUGGCGUGGAUAAUAAU